AGAGUUUGAUCCUGGCUCAGGACGAACGCUGGCGGCGUGCCUAAUACAUGCAAGUCGAGCGGACAGAUGGGAGCUUGCUCCCUGAUGUUAGCGGCGGACGGGUGAGUAACACGUGGGUAACCUGCCUGUAAGACUGGGAUAACUCCGGGAAACCGGGGCUAAUACCGGAUGGUUGUUUGAACCGCAUGGUUCAAACAUAAAAGGUGGCUUCGGCUACCACUUGCAGAUGGACCCGCGGCGCAUUAGCUAGUUGGUGAGGUAAUGGCUCACCAAGGCAACGAUGCGUAGCCGACCUGAGAGGGUGAUCGGCCACACUGGGACUGAGACACGGCCCAGACUCCUACGGGAGGCAGCAGUAGGGAAUCUUCCGCAAUGGACGAAAGUCUGACGGAGCAACGCCGCGUGAGUGAUGAAGGUUUUCGGAUCGUAAAGCUCUGUUGUUAGGGAAGAACAAGUGCCGUUCGAAUAGGGCGGUACCUUGACGGUACCUAACCAGAAAGCCACGGCUAACUACGUGCCAGCAGCCGCGGUAAUACGUAGGUGGCAAGCGUUGUCCGGAAUUAUUGGGCGUAAAGGGCUCGCAGGCGGUUUCUUAAGUCUGAUGUGAAAGCCCCCGGCUCAACCGGGGAGGGUCAUUGGAAACUGGGGAACUUGAGUGCAGAAGAGGAGAGUGGAAUUCCACGUGUAGCGGUGAAAUGCGUAGAGAUGUGGAGGAACACCAGUGGCGAAGGCGACUCUCUGGUCUGUAACUGACGCUGAGGAGCGAAAGCGUGGGGAGCGAACAGGAUUAGAUACCCUGGUAGUCCACGCCGUAAACGAUGAGUGCUAAGUGUUAGGGGGUUUCCGCCCCUUAGUGCUGCAGCUAACGCAUUAAGCACUCCGCCUGGGGAGUACGGUCGCAAGACUGAAACUCAAAGGAAUUGACGGGGGCCCGCACAAGCGGUGGAGCAUAUGGUUUAAUUCGAAGCAACGCGAAGAACCUUACCAGGUCUUGACAUCCUCUGACAAUCCUAGAGAUAGGACGUCCCCUUCGGGGGCAGAGUGACAGGUGGUGCAUGGUUGUCGUCAGCUCGUGUCGUGAAAUGUUGGGUUAAGUCCCGCAACGAGCGCAACCCUUGAUCUUAGUUGCCAGCAUUCAGUUGGGCACUCUAAGGUGACUGCCGGUGACAAACCGGAGGAAGGUGGGGAUGACGUCAAAUCAUCAUGCCCCUUAUGACCUGGGCUACACACGUGCUACAAUGGACAGAACAAAGGGCAGCGAAACCGCGAGGUUAAGCCAAUCCCACAAAUCUGUUCUCAGUUCGGAUCGCAGUCUGCAACUCGACUGCGUGAAGCUGGAAUCGCUAGUAAUCGCGGAUCAGCAUGCCGCGGUGAAUACGUUCCCGGGCCUUGUACACAUCGCCCGUCACACCACGAGAGUUUGUAACACCCGAAGUCGGUGAGGUAACCUUUUAGGAGCCAGCCGCCGAAGGUGGAACAGAUGAUUGGGGUGAAGUCGAAACAAGGUAGCCGUAUCGGAAGGUGCGGCUG
This 1530-nucleotide ribosomal RNA is filed under the name metagenome. Its description in RNAcentral is "bacterial SSU rRNA". It matches the Rfam family "Bacterial small subunit ribosomal RNA". The record is from RNAcentral.